GGGCGAUAGCUCAAUUGGUAGAGCACAUCCCUUUUAAGGAUGGGGUCGCGGGUUCGAUCCCCGCUCGCC
This 69-nucleotide transfer RNA is filed under the name bovine gut metagenome. It matches the Rfam family "tRNA". From Rfam's summary of the family: Transfer RNA (tRNA) molecules are approximately 80 nucleotides in length. Their secondary structure includes four short double-helical elements and three loops (D, anti-codon, and T loops). The record is from RNAcentral.